RNAcentral lists this ribosomal RNA (616 nucleotides) under Rhizopus arrhizus. RNAcentral's name for it is "Rhizopus oryzae partial large subunit ribosomal RNA". It matches the Rfam family "Eukaryotic large subunit ribosomal RNA", at positions 83 to 631 of the family's 3401-position model. The record is from RNAcentral. Lineage: Eukaryota; Fungi; Mucoromycota; Mucoromycetes; Mucorales; Rhizopodaceae.
GUACGGCGAGUGNNGAGGAAGAGCUCAAAGUUGGAACCUGUUUGGCCUAGCUAAACNNNNNNNNNNNNNNNNGAAGUGUUUUCCAGGCAAGCCGAGUAAAUAAGUCCUUUGGAACAGGGCAUCAUAGAGGGUGAGAAUCCCGUCUUUGGCUUGAGCAUUUGCCUUUUGUGAUACGCUUUCAAAGAGUCAGGUUGUUUGGGAAUGCAGCCUAAAUUGGGUGGUAAAUCUCACCUAAAGCUAAAUAUUGGCGAGAAACCGAUAGCGAACAAGUACCGUGAGGGAAAGAUGAAAAGAACUUUGAAAAGAGAGUUAAACAGUAUGUGAAAUUGUUAAAAGGGAACCGUUUGGAGCCAGACUGGCUUGUCUGUAAUCAAUCUAGGCUUCGGCCUGGAUGCACUUGCAGGCUAUGCCUGCCAACGACAAUUUGACUUGAGGGAAAAAACUAGGGGAAAUGUGGCCCACUUGUGGGUGUUAUAGUCCCUUAGAAAAUACCUUGGGUUGGAUUGAGGAACGCAGCGAAUGCUUAUUGGCGAGUUUUCCAGGAAGGUUUUCUGAGGUACUACGGUAUCAAGGUUGAUCUUUUUGGUUAUACUUCUAUUCGCUUAGGUUGUUGGCU